CGGUACUUGUACCAAUUGAGAUUUUAACACGAAGUGAGUGGCGAACGGGUGAGUAACACGUGGGUAACCUGCCCAGAAGUAGGGGAUAACACCUGGAAACAGAUGCUAAUACCGUAUAAUAGAGAAAACCGCAUGGUUUUCUUUUGAAAGAUGGCUCUGCUAUCACUUCUGGAUGGACCCGCGGCGCAUUAGCUAGUUGGUAAGGUAAAGGCUUACCAAGGCAGUGAUGCGUAGCCGACCUGAGAGGGUAAUCGGCCACAUUGGGACUGAGACACGGCCCAGACUCCUACGGGAGGCAGCAGUAGGGAAUCUUCCACAAUGGACGCAAGUCUGAUGGAGCAACGCCGCGUGAGUGAAGAAGGGUUUCGGCUCGUAAAGCUCUGUUGUUAAAGAAGAACGUGGGUGAGAGUAACUGUUCACCCAGUGACGGUAUUUAACCAGAAAGCCACGGCUAACUACGUGCCAGCAGCCGCGGUAAUACGUAGGUGGCAAGCGUUAUCCGGAUUUAUUGGGCGUAAAGCGAGCGCAGGCGGUCUUUUAAGUCUAAUGUGAAAGCCUUCGGCUCAACCGAAGAAGUGCAUUGGAAACUGGGAGACUUGAGUGCAGAAGAGGACAGUGGAACUCCAUGUGUAGCGGUG
Molecule: ribosomal RNA, 638 nt
Filed under: Pediococcus stilesii
Lineage: Bacteria; Bacillati; Bacillota; Bacilli; Lactobacillales; Lactobacillaceae
Description: bacterial SSU rRNA
Rfam family: Bacterial small subunit ribosomal RNA
Source: RNAcentral